GACAGAGGGUGCAAACGUUGCUCGGAAUCACUGGGCGUAAAGCGCGUGUAGGCUGAUUCGUUAGUCGGGUGUGAAAUCCCUGGGCUCAACCCAGGAACUGCAUCCGAAACUGCGAGUCUAGAGUGUCGGAGAGGGAAGCGGAAUUCCUGGUGUAGAGGUGAAAUUCGUAGAUAUCAGGAGGAACACCGGUGGCGAAGGCGGCUUCCUGGACGAUGACUGACGCUGAGACGCGAAAGCGUGGGGAGCAAACAGG
This 253-nucleotide ribosomal RNA is filed under the name uncultured bacterium. RNAcentral describes it as "partial 16S ribosomal RNA". It matches the Rfam family "Bacterial small subunit ribosomal RNA", at positions 524 to 776 of the family's 1533-position model. The record is from RNAcentral.